CGCAGGCCGUAGUGGAGGCGACGGCGGCGACGGCGGGGCGGGGCGAGACGACGGCGACGCGACCGACUCCAACCCUACGUCCUUCCCCUUCUUCGUCCUUCUCGCCGAUCUCUCCUCCACCAUUUAGAGUUGGGGAAGGUGAACCUCCGCCUUCUUGGGAUCCAGUACCAACUCCAGAAGUUCUACAAUGAGUCUAUCACUGCGAGAUCGCAUUAGAAAGAGGAGGGAGGAGGAAGAUGAUGACAUGAUGCUAUUUAUUUUUCCUGCCUUAUAUCUUA
Sorghum bicolor (sorghum) is the source of this 278-nucleotide long non-coding RNA. RefSeq lists it as uncharacterized. Lineage: Eukaryota; Viridiplantae; Streptophyta; Magnoliopsida; Poales; Poaceae. The transcript has 3 exons. The record is from RefSeq and is a predicted model, not a curated record.